UGGGGAAUUUUGGACAAUGGGCGAAAGCCUGAUCCAGCAAUGCCGCGUGUGUGAAGAAGGCCUUCGGGUUGUAAAGCACUUUUGUCCGGAAAGAAAUCCUUGGCUCUAAUACAGUCGGGGGAUGACGGUACCGGAAGAAUAAGCACCGGCUAACUACGUGCCAGCAGCCGCGGUAAUACGUAGGGUCAAGCGUUAAUCGGAAUUACUGGGCGUAAAGCGUGCGCAGGCGGUUUGCUAAGACCGAUGUGAAAUCCCCGGGCUAACCUGGGAACUGCAUUGGUGACUGGCAGGCUAGAGUAUGGCAGAGGGGGGUAGAAUUCCACGUGUAGCAGUGAAAUGCGUAGAGAUGUGGAGGAAUACCGAUGGCGAAGGCAGCCCCCUGGGCCAAUACUGACGCUCAUGCACGAAAGCGUGGGGAGCAAACAGGAUUAGAUACCCUGGUAGUCCACGCCCUAAACGAUGUCAACUAGUUGUGGGGAUUCAUUCCUUAGUAACGUAGCUAACGCGUGAAGUUGACCGCCUGGGGAGUACGGUCGCAA
RNAcentral lists this ribosomal RNA (539 nucleotides) under uncultured bacterium. Its description in RNAcentral is "partial 16S ribosomal RNA". It matches the Rfam family "Bacterial small subunit ribosomal RNA", at positions 355 to 891 of the family's 1533-position model. The record is from RNAcentral.